UGCCUGGGUGGCGGAAUUUGGUAGACGCGCUAGCUUCAGGUGCUAGUGACUUUAUUGUCAUGGAAGUUCGAGUCUUCUCCUAGGCACCA
This 89-nucleotide transfer RNA is filed under the name Candidatus Endolissoclinum faulkneri L2. RNAcentral describes it as "tRNA-Leu". It matches the Rfam family "tRNA". From Rfam's summary of the family: Transfer RNA (tRNA) molecules are approximately 80 nucleotides in length. Their secondary structure includes four short double-helical elements and three loops (D, anti-codon, and T loops). Further hydrogen bonds mediate the characteristic L-shaped molecular structure. tRNAs have two regions of fundamental functional importance: the anti-codon, which is responsible for specific mRNA codon recognition, and the 3' end, to which the tRNAs corresponding amino acid is attached (by aminoacyl-tRNA synthetases). tRNAs cope with the degeneracy of the genetic code in two manners: having more than one tRNA (with a specific anti-codon) for a particular amino acid; and 'wobble' base-pairing, i.e. permitting non-standard base-pairing at the 3rd anti-codon position. Lineage: Bacteria; Pseudomonadati; Pseudomonadota; Alphaproteobacteria; Rhodospirillales; Rhodospirillaceae. The record is from RNAcentral.